GCCGCAAACCACUCUAUCGCGGGCUCGUGCAAAUGAGCGUGAGGAAAGUCCGGACAACGUAGAGCACCACACCAUCUAACGGAUGGGCUGCUGCUUUGAGCGCAAGCUCGAAACAGUGGACAGAGAGGGUCACAGAAAAGAAACUACCGCGCAAGCGGAAAAGGUGAAAACGUGUGGUAAGAGCACACGCGGCCAGGUAGCAAUAUCCGGUGUGGAUAAACCUUGUGGGUUGAAAUGUCAAGUAUACCUCAAUUGGGCGCAAGCCCAGCAGAGCUGCUCGCUUUGUUUUUGCAAAAAAGUUGGGGAGGGUAGGCAGAUGGAUCCCGCUCGCAAGAACGGGACUAGAUAAAUGAUAGAGGCUAUUGCCUUCGGGCAGUAGAACAGAAUCCGGCUUAUCGGUUUGCGGCAAAU
RNAcentral lists this RNase P RNA (411 nucleotides) under Haliscomenobacter sp. Its description in RNAcentral is "RNase P RNA component class A". It matches the Rfam family "Bacterial RNase P class A". Rfam says of the family: Ribonuclease P (RNase P) is a ubiquitous endoribonuclease, found in archaea, bacteria and eukarya as well as chloroplasts and mitochondria. Its best characterised activity is the generation of mature 5'-ends of tRNAs by cleaving the 5'-leader elements of precursor-tRNAs. Cellular RNase Ps are ribonucleoproteins. Lineage: Bacteria; Pseudomonadati; Bacteroidota; Saprospiria; Saprospirales; Haliscomenobacteraceae. The record is from RNAcentral.